Heterocephalus glaber (naked mole-rat) is the source of this 340-nucleotide long non-coding RNA. NCBI's taxonomy places the organism in Eukaryota, Metazoa, Chordata, Mammalia, Rodentia, Bathyergidae. The record is from Ensembl.
GGAAGGAAGGAGGGAAGAGAGCAAAAAGUGAUGUGAGUGGAAAGACCAAAUUUUGGAAAAAUGCAUCCCCCAAAUCCUUACAUUAUUCCCAACCACAGAAAGAAAACAGAGGGCUGGAAGGGAACUUGAAGUCUUAGAUGCCAAACCCUUAUUGUUCAGAGGAAGAUAAUGAGGAUCUCCGUCACUCCUACCCCUGAUUCCAUCUGGAGUUUGACUGAACUCAGAGAAGAGACUGUGUAUGGAGACUAGAAAUGGAAGCAGUAUCCAAGGUCAUAGCUUUCAGGCUCCCUUCAGAUUAUUCUACAGCUACAGUGAUGAAAGCUGCAUUCUCACAGAGUAC